Molecule: long non-coding RNA, 3634 nt
Organism: Ostrinia nubilalis (European corn borer)
Lineage: Eukaryota; Metazoa; Arthropoda; Insecta; Lepidoptera; Crambidae
Exons: 2
Source: RefSeq, a predicted model, not a curated record
UUUGUAUUUAUAUUUAUUUACAACACGAAUAUUGCAGUAAUUAUGUAUCUAUCAGCCGCUGUACAAAAAUACCCGAGAUUAGGGAGCCUAUAAACAUUCAACAACGUUGCAGUCUGAAAUGGAAUGUGGUGGAAAAUGGAACUUACAUUUAUGGCGACAUCAAAUUGGAGAUGCAAAAAUGGUUUGAUAUCUAACACUAGCGGAAAUAAACAACAAAAAUAUAAUAUAGCUUGAAUUACACGAAUAACAUUGAAUUAAAAUUCUAUACUAAAAGGAAUCAAAAAAUCACACACAACACCCAGAAUUUUGUUAAUCAUCCAUAUAAACUAAAACUGAAUUAGUUUUUUUCUUAUUUAAAUUUCCUUUAUGCCAUUUUUAUUUUCAUACUUUUGUUUCGCAACAACAAUCAAAAGUUUCUAAAAACUAAAUUGUUUCAUUUAAUAAAUUAUAAAUAGGGUAGAAACAAAAUUAUGCACCAAUAUGAGCUUAUCGACUAAAUCAUAGCCUACAUUCGAAAUACACGACCCUAACAAAAGACUGGCAGUUAAUUUACAGUAAGACUGCAAAAAGAAAAUUAUAUUGUGCAAAAACAACGUUGAGCCAAGUCUCAAGUAAUUUGAAACAUCAGAAGAUUGAAAAGGCAGUCUGAAAAUAUAUGGGAUACUAUAGGUCAAGCGGUUAAUUCAAUCAAUGUCAGAGGUAUAGGAGCGGCACGGGAGGGUGUUGUUGUGCGUAACGUCAGCGAGACUUCAUAUCUCUUUCAGAAUUAUACAGGGUGUCCCAGAAUGGGUGAAUCAAACUGAUAGGGGAGGUAGCUCUACUAAUGUCUAUCCCUAAAUAUGAAAAAAAAAUUUUUGAGUUCGGAUUUCUUUUUAAAUAAUGUGCUCUAAACUCGAAAUCUAGUCAUUUCAAAAGUUUGUUUACAGAAUAACGAAGCGAUCAUGUACAAUUAAUAUUAGUAAGAAAAAAGUAAAACCAAAAACUCCAAACGCAGCAAUUAUAACCAGAUAGCUGAUUUAUUUUCACUUUUUAAUAAAAAAAAAUUGUGUCUUUAUUUGCAUACUUUUUAAGGAUAGUACAUUAGUAGAGCUACCUCCCCUAUCAGUUUGAUUCAGCCAUUCUGGGACACCCUGUAUGCUUCGUCACGUCACAAUAUGUCAAUGUUAUCUCUCCAGUACCGCUUUACCUCGGGGACUGACUGAGUUAAGCUAGACCGUAUAGGUAUUAGUUAGCUUCUUUUUAGAUGAUUCUGCUGCUUACAUACAACCAAUUAGUCAUUCGAAGGUAAUUUUGGUCCCAUAAGAGGAACGUAUUUCAACAGUAGAAUAAUCCAAUAAUAAGAUAACUAAUAAAAUAACAACCCCUGUUGAAAUGUUAUAAAUAAGUUGGGCACUCUGUUACAUCAUGUAAAAAAAUAAUGAUCUCUUGUUUUCGAUUUCAAACUGUGUAGUUAAAAAUGAAAAGUAGUAAAGAAAAUAUUAAUUAAAUCAAAUAUUAUACAUAUUUUUAAAUUACACCGGGUGUAAGGUAACGUGUUGGAAAGAAAUAUUUAUGAUUUAGUAAUCGGACCUUUUCUCACAAAUUUUAAGAUAAUCCUAAUGUCGUUGAAUAUAAAAAUAUACAAAAAUAUCUAUGGAAUGAUUUUGAAACUUACAUGGUUUUGAGUCAGUCAAGAUUUAUCGUUACCUGACACCCGGUAUCUGUGAUGUAUUACAUCCAAUCUAAAUAGCGUUCAUAAACUUUACAACAAAAUUAAAUAAUACAUAAGACCUAAUCAAAUCGUCCAUGAAAUGUUUAUGAAUACUGACUUUGCUACAUAACUACAAUCUUGAAACACAUACCGCGAAAUAUAUUCUAUUUAUUUUGAAGUUGCAAGAUUUGUAUUAUUUGGCACCUUCCGACGUUGCCCGCGUGAGCUAAAAUACGGUAUCUUGUAUUUAUUUAUUACUUUACAAUCAUACACCUAGCCUCAAAGCUAACAAUUUUGCAAAGCCUGAGACUAGAUUACACAAAAACAUACUUAGAUAAAAAUAUACACUAAUACACUAUGGCCCCAAAGGGGUUAGAACUCGCACGAGCGCUAAGUGAAGUGUGGACCACCAAGCCAUCAUGUGCAAAUCUCAAAUAAACUUCCAAGAUUCCGAUUUUUAGCUUUCGAGGGCAGAACACUACUCACAUAUUUCUAUAAAUUAUUUAGUAAUCAAAAUCAAGUAGGUAGAUUGAUUCUUUUCUAGUAGGAAAAUACUGACUGACAACCUCUCAGCUCGGAAUAAAAUAAUGUAUUUUAAAACCUUCUCCAGAUAAUAUUAUUUACAUAAUUCAAAUAGUUCUGUUUUAAGCGAGGUUCUGUUAACAUACUGUAUUAGAAAAAAUAUUUAUUUAUAAUGUUCUGAAAUCACAAACUUCAUAAUACGCUGUUAUUCUAAAUUGUACUUUCCGUAGAAGAAUUAAGUGUUGUUAUUAUUAUUAUUGAGAUUAUUCUGAUUUAAUAAACGUGGUUUAUUUACACAAUAUUUGGAGAUAUGUAAUUAUUAUACAUAACAAUCUCUAUCACAUGUUAUUAUUAAUAUUUUAUACACAUUUCCUUGACGUCUUGAUAAGUUUCCUUAAUUUCUACAAAACUUUACGAUAUUCUGACAAAAAUGUUAGUUUUAUACAAGAAUAUAUGGGAAAGUUCUCUUCCCAGAACACCGUAUAGAUUGCACUAAAUAUGUAAAAACAAAGAACAAAAAUAAAUAGGAUUUACAGUGAAGAACAGACUAUAUCUAGCACACUCACACAUUCUCAACGCAGUAGGCACGAGGCAAACGAAAUACUGUUGUACGUUAACUCGGAAUAAAAUACUUUCUGAACAUGUGGCUACAUUUUUUUUUACAUUAAUUGACAUAAUUUUUAAGAUAAUGUCAAAGCGAAGUUUUCCGUAGAAUGCGUAAAAUUAGUUCGAAGUGAACUCACCAAAUAAUAUUUGUCUUUAAAUAUUUUUUACUCAUUUAAUAAACAAUUUGACACAUUAUGUACCAGAUUGAAUACUGCGAAUAAUUGGAUAUUAUUAUUUACAAUUAUGUAUCCUAUCAUUUAUUAUUAAACAUUUUCUUUUGAUCAUCAUCAUCACUAUUUCAGCCAUAGGGUCCACACUGCUGAACGUAGUGGCCAAAUAAUUUCCAUAUUGACCGGUUGGUAUGGAUUUUCUAUUUAAUAUCAAGAAAGUAUUUCAUAGGCAGUUGAGAUUGACUCCAGAUAGGAGAUCUGCAGUCCCAGUUAACGAUCGUAAAUAAAUUCGAGAUACAAACAUAAAAAGCUUAACUAAUUUAUGACUACGCUUCGUAAUAAAGCAUGUACGGUAUCUGCCAACAAAUAGGACUAUUUAUCAGUACAAAUAUUUCUUCAUAUUUUUUUAAUAUUUCACCAAAUCAUUCAUGAAAGGACACUCGUUUAAUUGAAUUAUUUCGGUUUUAUUACAAAGUCGGCGCUCAAUAUGCUAAAAACAUUUUUGCGAAUUCAAUAUUACUCCCAUAUUAAACAUGGUUAAGACAGUACAAAUAUUACAGGUAUAUAACCUGCUCAAAACCAAUCCAGCCAGUACACCAAGCAAGAAUCUACUAAAACACUGUGAAAUUACAAAUACUAUUUACAA